CAAAGAUAAGGUUUAUAUUUGAAGAUAUGUGAUUUAGAGUGUAUGCUCAGAUGCAAUUUGUUAUCAUAAGAAGGGACAAGGCAUCUUCAGAAUUCUAGGUGGCUUUUUUGUUUUGUUUUGUUAUUGUGUUGUGGUUUGUGUUUUUUUUUUUUUUCAGACAUUUUCAAGACGCAGGCUGUGUAAAGAGCAAUGUAGCCUGAGAAAGAAUUCCCACUAGAGGCCAUGGAAAUUCAGAAAAGUAGUGGGGACUACACGAAAAAUUUGUGUUAAAAAAUUGAAAUGAAACCGAGAUUUUGGGUUGCGAGAAGUAUGUGCAAUAUUCAAAGAGUUUUCAAAAUAGGAACUUGCAAAUGAACUCUGAAUGGCUCCUAAACACCAUGGACCUCUUGUAGGAUUCCUUGGAGUUGAAAUUGAGGUGGCAGAAAAGAUGCAAAACGCCAAGUGUGACAUCAUCAGCAACUGGUGGCGGUUGUGGAAUCAUAAAUAAUAUUUUGUAGACUUGGAUGAAAAAUAAAUCCCCUGAAAGAUGUGCA
Molecule: long non-coding RNA, 533 nt
Filed under: Anser brachyrhynchus (Pink-footed goose)
Lineage: Eukaryota; Metazoa; Chordata; Aves; Anseriformes; Anatidae
Description: lncRNA (ENSABRG00000017974.1)
Source: RNAcentral